Molecule: ribosomal RNA, 190 nt
Filed under: uncultured Bifidobacterium sp.
Lineage: Bacteria; Bacillati; Actinomycetota; Actinomycetes; Bifidobacteriales; Bifidobacteriaceae
Description: partial 16S ribosomal RNA
Rfam family: Bacterial small subunit ribosomal RNA
Source: RNAcentral
ACUCCUACGGGAGGCAGCAGUGGGGAAUAUUGCACAAUGGGCGCAAAGCUGAUGCAGCGACGCCGCGUGCGGGAUGGAGGCCUUCGGGUUGUAAACCGCUUUUGUUCAAGGGCAAGGCAGGCUUUCGGGCCUGUUGAGUGGAUUGUUCGAAUAAGCACCGGCUAACUACGUGCCAGCAGCCGCGGUAAUA